RNAcentral lists this ribosomal RNA (497 nucleotides) under uncultured bacterium. RNAcentral describes it as "partial 16S ribosomal RNA". It matches the Rfam family "Bacterial small subunit ribosomal RNA", at positions 28 to 507 of the family's 1533-position model. The record is from RNAcentral.
GAUGAACGCUGGCGGCGUGCCUAACACAUGCAAGUCGAGCGAACGGACCAGAAGCUUUCUUCUCUGAUGUUAGCGGCGGAGGGGUGAGUCACACGUGGAUAAACUACCUACCCGACUGGGAUAAUUAUGGGAAACCGUGUCUACUGCCGGAUAAUUUUUUGCACCUGGUUGUUCAAACGUGAAAGUAGGUCUUUCUGUCACUUAUAGCUGGCUCCGCGCUGCAUUGGCAGGUUGGUAAGGUAACUGAUUACCAAGGCUACGAUGCAUAGCCGCCCUGAGAGGGGGAGACGCCACGCUGGAACUGAGGCACGGUCCAGACUCCUACGAGAGGCAGCAGUAGGGAAUCCUCCGCAAUGGGCGAAGUCCUGACGGAGCAACGCCGCGCGAGAGAUUGAGGCCGUCGGGUCGUAAAACUGUGUUAGGAGGGAAGAACAUAUGUGUAAGUAACUGGGCACAUCUUGACGUUACCUAAUCAAAAAGCCACGGCUAACUACGUG